Molecule: unclassified non-coding RNA, 520 nt
Filed under: uncultured Archaeospora
Lineage: Eukaryota; Fungi; Glomeromycota; Glomeromycetes; Archaeosporales; Archaeosporaceae
Description: SSU rRNA
Rfam family: Eukaryotic small subunit ribosomal RNA
Source: RNAcentral
AGCAGCCGCGGUAAUUCCAGCUCCAAUAGCGUAUAUUAAAGUUGUUGCAGUUAAAAAGCUCGUGGUUGAAUUUUAGGCUUGACCGGACGGUCCGCUUCUGCGAGUACUGUUCCGCGUUGGGUCUUACCUUCUGGUGAACCGGUAUGUUCUUAAUUGAAUGUGCUGUGGAGCCAGGACCAUUACCUUGAAAAAUUAGAGUGUUUAAAGCGGGCUAUUGCUUGAAUAGAUUAGCAUGGAAUAAUAAAAUAGGACGUUGGUUCUAUUUUGUUGGUUUCUAGGACCACCGUAAUGAUUAAUAGGGAUAGUUGGGGGCAUUAGUAUUCAAUUGUCAGAGGUGAAAUUCUUGGAUUUAUUGAAGACUAACUACUGCGAAAGCAUUUGCCAAGGAUGUUUUCAUUAAUCAAGAACGAAAGUUAGGGGAUCGAAGACGAUCAGAUACCGUCGUAGUCUUAACCAUAAACUAUGCCGACUAGGAAUCGGGCGAUGUUCUUUUCAUGACUCGCUCGGCGCCGUUAUGGGG